GACGAACGCUGGCGGCGUGCUUAACACAUGCAAGUCGAACGGAAAGACCCUGCUUUUGUGGGGUGCUCGAGUGGCGAACGGGCGAGUAACACGUGAGUAACCUGCCCUUGACUUUGGGAUAACUUCAGGAAACUGGGGCUAAUACCGGAUAGGAGCUCCUGCUGCAUGGUGGGGGUUGGAAAGUUUCGGCGGUUGGGGAUGGACUCGCGGCUUAUCAGCUUGUUGGUGGGGUAGUGGCUUACCAAGGCUUUGACGGGUAGCCGGCCUGAGAGGGUGACCGGCCACAUUGGGACUGAGAUACGGCCCAGACUCCUACGGGAGGCAGCAGUGGGGAAUAUUGCACAAUGGGCGGAAGCCUGAUGCAGCAACGCCGCGUGCGGGAUGACGGCCUUCGGGUUGUAAACCGCUUUCGCCUGUGACGAAGCGUGAGUGACGGUAAUGGGUAAAGAAGCACCGGCUAACUACGUG
This 468-nucleotide ribosomal RNA is filed under the name uncultured bacterium. RNAcentral's name for it is "partial 16S ribosomal RNA". It matches the Rfam family "Bacterial small subunit ribosomal RNA", at positions 28 to 507 of the family's 1533-position model. The record is from RNAcentral.